RNAcentral lists this ribosomal RNA (428 nucleotides) under uncultured bacterium. Its description in RNAcentral is "bacterial SSU rRNA". It matches the Rfam family "Bacterial small subunit ribosomal RNA", at positions 355 to 775 of the family's 1533-position model. The record is from RNAcentral.
UGGGGAAUUUUGGACAAUGGGCGCAAGCCUGAUCCAGCCAUGCCGCGUGAGUGAAGAAGGCCUUCGGGUUGUAAAGCUCUUUCGCGAGGGAAGAAAAGAUACGGGUUAAUAACCCGUGUUCAUGACGGUACCUUGAUAAGAAGCACCGGCUAACUACGUGCCAGCAGCCGCGGUAAUACGUAGGGUGCGAGCGUUAAUCGGAAUUACUGGGCGUAAAGCGUGCGCAGGCGGUUUGUUAAGUCAGAUGUGAAAGCCCCGGGCUCAACCUGGGAACUGCGUUUGAAACUGGCAAGCUAGAGUUUGGGAGAGGGAGGUAGAAUUCCACGUGUAGCAGUGAAAUGCGUAGAUAUGUGGAGGAACACCGAUGGCGAAGGCAGCCUCCUGGCCCAAAACUGACGCUCAUGCACGAAAGCGUGGGGAGCAAACAG